AGUAACCUGCCUUGGAGUGGGGAAGUAACAGUUGGAAACAGCUGCUAAUACCGCAUAAUAUGUCUGUGUCGCAUGGCACUGGGCAUCAAAGAUUUAUCGCUCUGAGAUGGACUCGCGUCUGAUUAGCUAGUUGGCGGGGUAACGGCCCACCAAGGCGACGAUCAGUAGCCGGACUGAGAGGUUGACCGGCCACAUUGGGACUGAGAUACGGCCCAGACUCCUACGGAAGGCAGCAG
RNAcentral lists this ribosomal RNA (236 nucleotides) under uncultured bacterium. RNAcentral's name for it is "partial 16S ribosomal RNA". It matches the Rfam family "Bacterial small subunit ribosomal RNA", at positions 120 to 354 of the family's 1533-position model. The record is from RNAcentral.